RNAcentral lists this ribosomal RNA (254 nucleotides) under uncultured bacterium. Its description in RNAcentral is "partial 16S ribosomal RNA". It matches the Rfam family "Bacterial small subunit ribosomal RNA", at positions 524 to 776 of the family's 1533-position model. The record is from RNAcentral.
UACGAAGGGGGGCUAGCGUUGCUCGGAAUCACUGGGCGUAAAGCGCACGUAGGCGGCUUUCUAAGUCAGAGGUGAAAUCCCGGAGCUCAACUCCGGAACUGCCUUUGAUACUGGAAAGCUUGAGUUCGGGAGAGGUGAGUGGAACUGCGAGUGUAGAGGUGAAAUUCGUAGAUAUUCGCAAGAACACCAGUGGCGAAGGCGGCUCACUGGCCCGAUACUGACGCUGAGGUGCGAAAGCGUGGGGAGCAAACAGG